Molecule: ribosomal RNA, 486 nt
Filed under: uncultured bacterium
Lineage: Bacteria
Description: partial 16S ribosomal RNA
Rfam family: Bacterial small subunit ribosomal RNA
Source: RNAcentral
AUUGAACGCUGGCGGCAUGCCUUACACAUGCAAGUCGAACGGCAGCACGGGUGCUUGCACCUGGUGGCGAGUGGCGAACGGGUGAGUAAUACAUCGGAACAUGUCCUGUAGUGGGGGAUAGCCCGGCGAAAGCCGGAUUAAUACCGCAUACGAUCUACGGAUGAAAGCGGGGGACCUUCGGGCCUCGCGCUAUAGGGUUGGCUGAUGGCUGAUUAGCUAGUUGGUGGGGUAAAGGCCUACCAAGGCGACGAUCAGUAGCUGGUCUGAGAGGACGACCAGCCACACUGGGACUGAGACACGGCCCAGACUCCUACGGGAGGCAGCAGUGGGGAAUUUUGGACAAUGAGCGAAAGCCUGAUCCAGCAAUGCCGCGUGAGUGAAGAAGGCCUUCGGGUUGUAAAGCACUUUUGUCCGGAAAGAAAUCCUUGGCCCUAAUACGGUCGGGGGAUGACGGUACCGGAAGAAUAAGCACCGGCUAACUACGUG